GACGAACGCUGGCGGCGUGCUUAACACAUGCCAGUCGAACGGAAAGGCCCUGCUUUUGUGGGGUGCUCGAGUGGCGAACGGGUGAGUAACACGUGAGUAACCUGCCCUUGACUUUGGGAUAACUUCAGGAAACUGGGGCUAAUACCGGAUAGGAGCUCCUGCUGCAUGGUGGGGGUUGGAAAGUUUCGGCGGUUGGGGAUGGACUCGCGGCUUAUCAGCUUGUUGGUGGGGUAGUGGCUUACCAAGGCUUUGACGGGUAGCCGGCCUGAGAGGGUGACCGGCAAAAUGGGGAAAGAGAUGAGGGCGAGAGGAGUAAGGGAGGAAGAAGGGGGGAAUAGGGAAAAAUGGGAGGAAGAGUGAUGGAGGAACGCGGGGGGAGGGAGGAGGGAGUGAGGGUGGUGAAAAGAUAAAGACUGUGAAGAAGCGUGAGUGAAGGUAAUGUGGAAAGAAGAACAGGAUAGAGAAGUG
This 468-nucleotide ribosomal RNA is filed under the name uncultured bacterium. RNAcentral describes it as "partial 16S ribosomal RNA". The stretch from base 20 to 332 matches the Rfam family "Bacterial small subunit ribosomal RNA", at positions 47 to 358 of the family's 1533-position model. The record is from RNAcentral.